This is an RNA transcript of Drosophila miranda, 1486 nucleotides long. RefSeq lists it as uncharacterized. The record is from RefSeq and is a predicted model, not a curated record. The transcript is spliced from 5 exons. NCBI's taxonomy places the organism in Eukaryota, Metazoa, Arthropoda, Insecta, Diptera, Drosophilidae.
UAAUGGAUGAUGAAGGUAUAGCAAUUAUUUCGGCUGUGGUUCAACAGCAAAAUAUUUUCUUGCACCAACUAAUAAUGUUGCUGUCAAUGAAUAAUGAUGAUGACGAUAAUGACUUUAACAUUGACGAGGAUGAGAUGACCCAGAUGACUGCCAUAAAAACACAAAAGCCAGGAAGAUUAUGGUCGUUUAAGCGGUUCGGGACAUUUUGGGAGAAAGAUGUACCAGAAAACAACGAGGCGUUUUUCAAAGAGAGUUUCCGAAUGGAGAGGCCCUGCUUUGAUAUUUUAGUGAAUCGGCUUGAAGUGCUGCGAAAGAAGGACACCAACUGCCGAGCUGCAAUUCCUUUGGAAAAGCGCAUCGCCAUUGCGCUAUACACUUUGGGCUCGUCCUCUGAGUACCGAACAGUUGGCAGGCUUUUCGGUGUAGCUCCAAACAGUUUGUGUAAUAUCCUGCACGAGUUUUGCAGAGCACUUAUCGACGAGUUUUCGAAGGAGUACAUGUCGCCCAAUUACCUAACUUCCGACAAAAUUUAUGAGUGCGUAAAGGGAUUCGAGGCAAUUGGGUUUCCUCAGUGCCUAGGUGCAAUUGAUGGAUGCCACAUCGAAAUAAAACCACCAGCAGCUGAGGCAGUAGACCACCAUAACUAUAAGGGCUGGUAUUCCACAGUCUUGUUUGCCCUAGUGGAUUAUAGAUACAGAUUUACAUAUGUAAAUAUCGGCUCUGAAGGAAGGUGCAAUGACUCGAUGAUAUACCAGAAGUCAAGCCUUGCAAAACAUAUCGAAGCAUCGGCAUUACUCCAAGAGAAAGCCAAGGAAAUAAGCGGAGUAAACGUCCCUGUAAUGCUUAUCGGGGACUCAGCAUUUAGGUUUUCUAAAAAGCUGAUGAUACCUUACCCGUUUUCCACAGUCGCCUCUUUGGAAUAGCGCACGUUUAACUACAACCUUUCCAAAGCUAGGCGAGUGGUGGAAAAUGCAUUUGGGCAUUUAAAAGCCAGAUUUCGAAUAAUCGGAAAAGGUCUUGAUAGCCACCAUAAGCUACAGUCGGUAAGCCGACUUGGCAUAAGCGAUAAUGCUGAUCUUGCGGCAUGUGCAAGAUAUCAGAUUACCGCCGGUUGAUCGUCACAUUCAGGGCGCUGAACUGAAGUUCGCUGAUUUGGCAUUUUGAGUGCAAACAACAUGGAGCAGAGCACAUUGGACAACGACAAUCCUGAUGAGUACUUUUCGGAUAUUAUUGAGAUGGACCUGGACGGAUCUUGUAGCUCCAGCACCUUGUCUGGGCGUCCGCCAAAGAAAAAGAAAAAGACCGACAUUUCGUGGCUGGCAGAGAUCGCCCAGGAGCGUCUCGAACAACAAAAGGACCACCACAGAAAGAAGGAGGAGCACGACGUUAGGCAGGAGAAGAUGGUGCAGGACUUGAUCAGCACCCAAACAAAAUUCCAGAACGACUUAUUAGAAGUUUUAAAAAAUAAAAAUAAAUAAGUUUUUAA